This 463-nucleotide ribosomal RNA is filed under the name Aeromonas sobria. RNAcentral describes it as "bacterial SSU rRNA". It matches the Rfam family "Bacterial small subunit ribosomal RNA", at positions 24 to 474 of the family's 1533-position model. The record is from RNAcentral. Lineage: Bacteria; Pseudomonadati; Pseudomonadota; Gammaproteobacteria; Aeromonadales; Aeromonadaceae.
UCAGAUUGAACGCUGGCGGCAGGCCUAACACAUGCAAGUCGAGCGGCAGCGGGAAAGUAGCUUGCUACUUUUGCCGGCGAGCGGCGGACGGGUGAGUAAUGCCUGGGGAUCUGCCCAGUCGAGGGGGAUAACAGUUGGAAACGACUGCUAAUACCGCAUACGCCCUACGGGGGAAAGGAGGGGACCUUCGGGCCUUUCGCGAUUGGAUGAACCCAGGUGGGAUUAGCUAGUUGGUGGGGUAAUGGCUCACCAAGGCGACGAUCCCUAGCUGGUCUGAGAGGAUGAUCAGCCACACUGGAACUGAGACACGGUCCAGACUCCUACGGGAGGCAGCAGUGGGGAAUAUUGCACAAUGGGGGAAACCCUGAUGCAGCCAUGCCGCGUGUGUGAAGAAGGCCUUCGGGUUGUAAAGCACUUUCAGCGAGGAGGAAAGGUUGGCAGCUAAUAUCUGUCAGCUGUGACG